This 329-nucleotide ribosomal RNA is filed under the name Paravaejovis gravicaudus. RNAcentral describes it as "partial 12S ribosomal RNA". Lineage: Eukaryota; Metazoa; Arthropoda; Arachnida; Scorpiones; Vaejovidae. The record is from RNAcentral.
UAAAAUUUAUAAAAUUAGGUAGUAAAGAAAUUUCUGAAACCUAAAGAAUUUGGCGGUAUUUUAAAUAAUUGGAGGAACCUGUUAUUUAAUUGACAAUCCACAACAUAUCUUACCUAAAUUUUAUUUGUAUAUCGUCGUUUUGAUAAUAUUUAAAAAUAAUAAUCAAUUUUAAUUAAUUUUAGAAUUCAGAUCAAGGUGCAGUAUAUUUAGGUUAUAAUGGGUUACAAUAUAUUUAUAUAUUACGAAUAUAAAAUUGAAAUUAUAUUAAAGGUGGAUUCAAAAGUAAAAUUAAAUUAAAAAGUUAAUUUGAUUAAUAAUUUAAAAUAUGC